This 252-nucleotide ribosomal RNA is filed under the name uncultured bacterium. RNAcentral describes it as "partial 16S ribosomal RNA". It matches the Rfam family "Bacterial small subunit ribosomal RNA", at positions 524 to 775 of the family's 1533-position model. The record is from RNAcentral.
UACGUAGGGUGCAAGCGUUGUCCGGAAUUAUUGGGCGUAAAGAGCUCGUAGGCGGUUUGUCGCGUCUGCUGUGAAAACUCAGGGCUUAACCCUGAGCUUGCAGUGGGUACGGGCAGACUAGAGUGCGGUAGGGGAGACUGGAAUUCCUGGUGUAGCGGUGAAAUGCGCAGAUAUCAGGAGGAACACCGAUGGCGAAGGCAGGUCUCUGGGCCGAUACUGACGCUGAGGAGCGAAAGCGUGGGGAGCGAACAG